CAGUAGCGUAUAUUAAAGUUGUUGCAGUUAAAAAGCUCGUAGUUGGAUUUCUGACAUGGUGCGCCUGGUCCGCCCCGUAAAGGUGUGUGAGUACCGGUGUGCCCCUGUCAUCCUUCCGCGGAGCGUGUCUACCCUUCAUUGGGCCGGGCACGCGACGUGGAUCGUUUACUUUGAAAAAUUAGAGUGUUCAAAGCAGGCUAUACGCUUCUGAAUACAUUAGCAUGGAAUAAUAAGAUAGGACUUGGGUUCUAUUUUGUUGGUUUCUAGGACCGAAGUAAUGAUUGAUAGGGAUAGUUGGGGGUGCUAGUAUUUAACGGCCAGAGGUGAAAUUCUUGGAUUCGUUAAAGACUAACUAAUGCGAAAGCAUUCACCAAGGAUGUCUUCUUUAAUCAAGAACGAAAGUUGGGGGAUCGAAGACGAUUAGAUACCAU
This 431-nucleotide ribosomal RNA is filed under the name uncultured eukaryote. Its description in RNAcentral is "SSU rRNA". It matches the Rfam family "Eukaryotic small subunit ribosomal RNA", at positions 592 to 1018 of the family's 1831-position model. The record is from RNAcentral.